This 187-nucleotide unclassified non-coding RNA is filed under the name Lactobacillus sp. RNAcentral's name for it is "partial contains 16S ribosomal RNA and 16S-23S ribosomal RNA intergenic spacer". The stretch from base 1 to 156 matches the Rfam family "Bacterial small subunit ribosomal RNA", at positions 1379 to 1533 of the family's 1533-position model. The record is from RNAcentral. Lineage: Bacteria; Bacillati; Bacillota; Bacilli; Lactobacillales; Lactobacillaceae.
UCUUGUACACACCGCCCGUCACACCAUGGGAGUCUGCAAUGCCCAAAGCCGGUGGCCUAACCUUCGGGAAGGAGCCGUCUAAGGCAGGGCAGAUGACUGGGGUGAAGUCGUAACAAGGUAGCCGUAGGAGAACCUGCGGCAUGGAUCACCUCCUUUCUAAGGAAGCGAAGGGAAUUAAUGGGGAAGG